This is a long non-coding RNA of Salmo salar (Atlantic salmon), 566 nucleotides long. RefSeq lists it as uncharacterized. NCBI's taxonomy places the organism in Eukaryota, Metazoa, Chordata, Actinopteri, Salmoniformes, Salmonidae. The record is from RefSeq and is a predicted model, not a curated record.
GGGUGUCCAACAUGGUACUAGAUGGGUGUAUAUUUGAACGAAAUGUUCUUCUAUAACAUUUUUAUAUGUUUUAUAAGAACGCUUUUAUUUUAAAGACAAGCUUUUAUUUUGAAGAGAAAUCCAGAAAUUCCCUUAGAUUUUCUGGCUUAACAUGUGACAAACCAUGUGACUGAGAGUAGGUUACAAGCAUUUCACUGCGCAGACUGGAGCCAGACAGUCCCUGUGUCAAGAACAGUUGGCAUUUCAUCUGCUUUGCUUUGAGAAUGAAUUCAGAUGCCUAUCCCGAGAAGAAUCUACAUCUGUGUUCAAGAGGGCAACCACUGUAAAGCCAACCGUUGUAGCCAACCUGCGGAGAGCCGUCCGCCUCACACACAUGUCCAGGAUGUACCAACAUCACUGUGGAUCAUCAUCAUGGAGAGCCAGUUGCAGCGCUUUGACCCUUGGGGUCCUGAUGACUGGGCCCUGAUUGACUCUGAGACAUAGCAGGGGCAGUGGUGAAGACUUACUCCAGACAAAAUAGAAAGAGAGAUUUGAGAACUAUAGGACAUUAAAACAUCUCUCCAAUA